This 857-nucleotide ribosomal RNA is filed under the name uncultured archaeon. RNAcentral describes it as "bacterial SSU rRNA". It matches the Rfam family "Archaeal small subunit ribosomal RNA", at positions 1 to 865 of the family's 1478-position model. The record is from RNAcentral.
UCCGGUUGAUCCUGCCGGAGGCUACUGCUAUCGGGGUCCGACUAAGCCAUGCGAGUUGAGAGGGGUAAGCCCUCGGCAUAUUGCUCAGUAACACGCGGAUAACCUGCCCUUGGGUUCGGGAUAACCCCGGGAAACUGGGACUAAUACCGGAUAGAUCAAAGAAACUGGAAUGUUCUCUGGUCUAAAACUCUGGUGCCCAAGGAUGGGUCUGCGGCCUAUCAGGUAGUAGUGGGUGUAACGUACCUACUAGCCUACGACGGGUAAGGGUUGUGAGAGCAAGAGCCCCGAGAUGGAUUCUGAGACAUGAAUCCAGGCCCUACGGGGUGCAGCAGGCGCGGAAACUUUACACUGCGGGAAACCGCGAUAAGGGGACCCCGAGUGCCAGCACCUAGUGCUGGCUGUCCAGCUGUCCAAAUAACAGUUGUUAGCAAGGGCCGGGCAAGACCGGUGCCAGCCGCCGCGGUAACACCGGCGGCCCGAGUGGUAGCCGUUAUUAUUGGGUUUAAAGGGUCCGUAGCCGGCCUAUUAAGUCUCUUGGGAAAUCUGGCGACUCAAUCGUCAGGCGUCCAAGAGAUACUGGUAGGCUUGGGACCGGGAGAGGUGGGAGGUACUCCAGGGGUAGGGGUGAAUCUCGUAAUCCUUGGGGGACCACCGAUGGCGAAGGCAUCCCACCAGAACGGGUCCGACGGUGAGGGACGGAAGCUGGGGGCACGAACCGGAUUAGAUACCCGGGUAGUCCCAGCCGUAAACGAUGCUCGCUAGGUGUCAGGUGCGGUGCGACCGCAUCUGGUGCCGCAGUGAAAACUUGAAGCGAGUCACCUGGGAAGUACGGUCGCAAGGCUGAAACUUAAAGGAUU